RNAcentral lists this ribosomal RNA (528 nucleotides) under uncultured bacterium. RNAcentral's name for it is "bacterial SSU rRNA". It matches the Rfam family "Bacterial small subunit ribosomal RNA", at positions 106 to 669 of the family's 1533-position model. The record is from RNAcentral.
GUGAGUAACGCGUGGAUAUCUGCCUUUUGGUUCGGAAUAACCCCGGGAAACUGGGGCUAAUACCGGAUGGUACCUUCGGGUUAAAGAUUUAUCGCCAAAAGAUGAGUCCGCGUACGAUUAGCUAGUUGGUGAGGUAAUGGCUCACCAAGGCGACGAUCGUUAGCUGGUCUGAGAGGACGAUCAGCCACACUGGGACUGAGACACGGCCCAGACUCCUACGGGAGGCAGCAGUGGGGAAUAUUGGACAAUGGGGGCAACCCUGAUCCAGCCAUGCCGCGUGAGUGAUGAAGGCCUUCGGGUUGUAAAGCUCUUUUGGCGGGGACGAUGAUGACGGUACCCGCAGAAUAAGCCCCGGCUAACUUCGUGCCAGCAGCCGCGGUAAGACGAAGGGGGCUAGCGUUGUUCGGAAUUACUGGGCGUAAAGCGCGUGUAGGCGGUUGUUCAAGUCGGGUGUGGAAGCCUUGAGCUCAACUCAAGAAAUGCACUCGGUACCGGAUGACUAGAGGACCGGAGAGGAUAGUGGAAUUC